ACGGAGGGUGCAAGCGUUAUUCGGAAUUAUUGGGCGUAAAGGGCGUGCAGGCGGGCGAGCAAGUCCGACGUGAAAGUCCGGGGCUUAAACCCGGAAGGGCGUUGGAAACUGCUUUUCUUGAGUUCUGGAGAGGAAGGGAGAAUUCCCGGUGUAGAGGUGAAAUGCGUAGAGAUCGGGAGGAACAUCAGUGGCGAAGGCGCCCUACUGGACUGCAACUGACGCUGAGACGCGAAAGUGUGGGGAGCAAACAG
This 251-nucleotide ribosomal RNA is filed under the name uncultured prokaryote. RNAcentral's name for it is "partial 16S rRNA". It matches the Rfam family "Bacterial small subunit ribosomal RNA", at positions 525 to 775 of the family's 1533-position model. The record is from RNAcentral.